RNAcentral lists this transfer RNA (76 nucleotides) under Sphaerodactylus townsendi. RNAcentral describes it as "tRNA-Ser". It matches the Rfam family "tRNA". From Rfam's summary of the family: Transfer RNA (tRNA) molecules are approximately 80 nucleotides in length. Their secondary structure includes four short double-helical elements and three loops (D, anti-codon, and T loops). Further hydrogen bonds mediate the characteristic L-shaped molecular structure. tRNAs have two regions of fundamental functional importance: the anti-codon, which is responsible for specific mRNA codon recognition, and the 3' end, to which the tRNAs corresponding amino acid is attached (by aminoacyl-tRNA synthetases). tRNAs cope with the degeneracy of the genetic code in two manners: having more than one tRNA (with a specific anti-codon) for a particular amino acid; and 'wobble' base-pairing, i.e. permitting non-standard base-pairing at the 3rd anti-codon position. The record is from RNAcentral. Lineage: Eukaryota; Metazoa; Chordata; Lepidosauria; Squamata; Sphaerodactylidae.
GGAAGGGCCUGUGGCUCAGUGGUACAGUACCUGCUUGCUACGCAGAAGGUCGCAGGUUCAAUCCCUGGCAUCUCCA